RNAcentral lists this unclassified non-coding RNA (237 nucleotides) under Melitaea cinxia (Glanville fritillary). RNAcentral describes it as "misc RNA ENSMCXG00005014419.1". The record is from RNAcentral. Lineage: Eukaryota; Metazoa; Arthropoda; Insecta; Lepidoptera; Nymphalidae.
UGUAUACAUUGCUACGUGUUAAAAAAUUGCUUGCUGGGUUAGAGCGUCACCCACAAUUCCUAACACGAGACAACAAGAGAGAGAAGUAAAAAAAUCCUACAGAAACUUAAUUAAUUUUUUUUUUAAACUCACAAAAUCAACUACACUAAAGCAAAGCUAUUACCUAAGAACUACAACGACUCACCCACAACAAAUCGCAACUAGAUCCCAAGACGGCGAGAGAAUCCAAUCCAAAAA